GUGGUGCAAAUUAGCAUUAACCUUGACUUAAGCAUCUAAGAGCAAUUUCCCAUUAGGCUAAUUAUGUAUAUCCCACUGUGUUUCUUGCAGGGUCUGUGUCUCAUGGGUGCAUGCCAUACUGCCCCUUUGGGAUACAGUGCAGGAGAAACUGGAGCUGCCUCAUCAGUGCCAUUUCCAUACCGUGUCUGGUCUCUGGAGAAGGACAGCACGGAUGAAUUUGUGCAACAAGCCAACCAGCCAUAGAAGAUUAUAUCUUACAAGAAAAUCCACUUGUGGUGACUUGUAAGCUACGUUGGCCAUCCCUCACCCACAGUGGUAAGCAGUCUUCUGAGAUCCGCGAGAAUCUUUUUGGUAUACCUGGA
RNAcentral lists this long non-coding RNA (362 nucleotides) under Gallus gallus (chicken). RNAcentral's name for it is "long non-coding RNA NONGGAT005821". The record is from RNAcentral. Lineage: Eukaryota; Metazoa; Chordata; Aves; Galliformes; Phasianidae.